RNAcentral lists this ribosomal RNA (487 nucleotides) under uncultured bacterium. RNAcentral describes it as "partial 16S ribosomal RNA". It matches the Rfam family "Bacterial small subunit ribosomal RNA", at positions 30 to 523 of the family's 1533-position model. The record is from RNAcentral.
AUUGAACGCUGGCGGAAUGCCUAACACAUGCAAGUCGAGCGGGGUAGCAAUAUCCAGCGGCGGACGGGUGAGGAAUACGUAGGAAUUUGCCUUUAGGUGGGGGAUAGCUUGGGGAAACUCAAGGUAAUACCGCAUGAUCUCGCAAGAGCAAAGUGGGGGACCGCAAGGCCUCACGCCUUUAGAGAAGCCUACGUCUGAUUAGCUUGUUGGUGAGGUAAUGGCUCACCAAGGCGACGAUCAGUAACUGGUCUGAGAGGACGAUCAGUCACACCGGAACUGAGACACGGUCCGGACUCCUACGGGAGGCAGCAGUGGGGAAUAUUGGACAAUGGGCGAAAGCCUGAUCCAGCAAUUCCGCGUGUGUGAAGAAGGCCUUCGGGUCGUAAAGCACUUUAGGUUGGGAAGAAAAAGCUUCGGCGAAUAUCCGGAGUGUUGACGGUACCAACAGAAUAAGCACCGGCUAACUCAGUGCCAGCCGCCGCCGUAA